RNAcentral lists this small nucleolar RNA (121 nucleotides) under Echinops telfairi (small Madagascar hedgehog). RNAcentral's name for it is "Small nucleolar RNA SNORA61 (ENSETEG00000025149.1)". The record is from RNAcentral. Lineage: Eukaryota; Metazoa; Chordata; Mammalia; Afrosoricida; Tenrecidae.
AACCACCAGGUCCCUUUCCCAUCAGAUCCAAAUAUUGGCCUGAGUGGCUAAAAAAUGAAGAAAAGUCUAAGUAAAGUACACUUGAAGUUUUUAGUGACACUCAUGUUAAUUUUAAACAUAU